UCAUAGUUGGCUUAGAAGAUAAAGUGUCUGCCUAUACUGCAGAAGACCUGGGUUCAAUCCCUGGGUUGGGAA
This 72-nucleotide transfer RNA is filed under the name Ovis aries (sheep). It matches the Rfam family "tRNA". From Rfam's summary of the family: Transfer RNA (tRNA) molecules are approximately 80 nucleotides in length. The record is from Rfam by way of RNAcentral. Lineage: Eukaryota; Metazoa; Chordata; Mammalia; Artiodactyla; Bovidae.